UACGGAGGGUGCGAGCGUUGUCCGGAAUUAUUGGGCGUAAAGGGCGCGUAGGCGGCUUUGCAAGUGACGGGUGAAAGCCCUCGGCUUAACCGAGGAACUGCCUGUCAGACUGUGAGGCUUGAGACCGGGAGAGGUGAGUGGAAUUCCCAGUGUAGCGGUGAAAUGCGUAGAUAUUGGGAGGAACACCGGUGGCGAAGGCGGCCCCCUGGACCGGUACUGACGCUGAGGCGCGAAAGCGUGGGUAGCAAACGGG
This 253-nucleotide ribosomal RNA is filed under the name uncultured bacterium. Its description in RNAcentral is "partial 16S ribosomal RNA". It matches the Rfam family "Bacterial small subunit ribosomal RNA", at positions 524 to 776 of the family's 1533-position model. The record is from RNAcentral.